UCCCAGGUGGCUCAGUGGUAAAGAAUCUGCCUGCAGUGCAGGAGACGCAGGUUUGAUCCCUGGGUUGGGAA
RNAcentral lists this transfer RNA (71 nucleotides) under Ovis aries (sheep). It matches the Rfam family "tRNA". Rfam says of the family: Transfer RNA (tRNA) molecules are approximately 80 nucleotides in length. Their secondary structure includes four short double-helical elements and three loops (D, anti-codon, and T loops). Further hydrogen bonds mediate the characteristic L-shaped molecular structure. tRNAs have two regions of fundamental functional importance: the anti-codon, which is responsible for specific mRNA codon recognition, and the 3' end, to which the tRNAs corresponding amino acid is attached (by aminoacyl-tRNA synthetases). tRNAs cope with the degeneracy of the genetic code in two manners: having more than one tRNA (with a specific anti-codon) for a particular amino acid; and 'wobble' base-pairing, i.e. permitting non-standard base-pairing at the 3rd anti-codon position. The record is from Rfam by way of RNAcentral. Lineage: Eukaryota; Metazoa; Chordata; Mammalia; Artiodactyla; Bovidae.